UAUGGCCACAUCACAUUGAAACAUCAGUUCCCAUAUGAUCACUGAAGUUAAGCAAAGUUGAGCCUGGUCAGUACCCAGAUUGGUGACCGUUUGGGAAUAUCAGGUGCU
This is a non-coding RNA of Acanthosepion pharaonis, 108 nucleotides long. Lineage: Eukaryota; Metazoa; Mollusca; Cephalopoda; Sepiida; Sepiidae. The record is from the annotation of a GenBank genome assembly.